RNAcentral lists this ribosomal RNA (1115 nucleotides) under Salmonella enterica subsp. enterica serovar Dublin. Its description in RNAcentral is "partial 23S ribosomal RNA". It matches the Rfam family "Bacterial large subunit ribosomal RNA", at positions 642 to 1757 of the family's 2925-position model. Lineage: Bacteria; Pseudomonadati; Pseudomonadota; Gammaproteobacteria; Enterobacterales; Enterobacteriaceae. The record is from RNAcentral.
AAGGUUAACCGAAUAGGGGAGCCGGAGGGAAACCGAGUCUUAAUUGGGCGUUAAGUUGCAGGGUAUAGACCCGAAACCCGGUGAUCUAGCCAUGGGCAGGUUGAAGGUUGGGUAACACUAACUGGAGGACCGAACCGACUAAUGUUGAAAAAUUAGCGGAUGACCUGUGGCUGGGGGUGAAAGGCCAAUCAAACCGGGAGAUAGCUGGUUCUCCCCGAAAGCUAUUUAGGUAGCGCCUCGUGAAUUCAUCUCCGGGGGUAGAGCACUGUUUCGGCUAGGGGGCCAUCCCGGCUUACCAACCCGAUGCAAACUGCGAAUACCGGAGAAUGUUAUCACGGGAGACACACGGCGGGUGCUAACGUCCGUCGUGAAGAGGGAAACAACCCAGACCGCCAGCUAAGGUCCCAAAGUCAUGGUUAAGUGGGAAACGAUGUGGGAAGGCCCAGACAGCCAGGAUGUUGGCUUAGAAGCAGCCAUCAUUUAAAGAAAGCGUAAUAGCUCACUGGUCGAGUCGGCCUGCGCGGAAGAUGUAACGGGGCUAAACCAUGCACCGAAGCUGCGGCAGCGACGCUUAUGCGUUGUUGGGUAGGGGAGCGUUCUGUAAGCCUGUGAAGGUGGCCUGUGAGGGUUGCUGGAGGUAUCAGAAGUGCGAAUGCUGACAUAAGUAACGAUAAAGCGGGUGAAAAGCCCGCUCGCCGGAAGACCAAGGGUUCCUGUCCAACGUUAAUCGGGGCAGGGUGAGUCGACCCCUAAGGCGAGGCCGAAAGGCGUAGUCGAUGGGAAACGGGUUAAUAUUCCCGUACUUGGUGUUACUGCGAAGGGGGGACGGAGAAGGCUAUGUUGGCCGGGCGACGGUUGUCCCGGUUUAAGCGUGUAGGUGUGUGUUCCAGGUAAAUCCGGUUCACUUUAACACUGAGGCGUGAUGACGAGGCACUACGGUGCUGAAGUAACAAAUGCCCUGCUUCCAGGAAAAGCCUCUAAGCAUCAGGUAACAUCAAAUCGUACCCCAAACCGACACAGGUGGUCAGGUAGAGAAUACCAAGGCGCUUGAGAGAACUCGGGUGAAGGAACUAGGCAAAAUGGUGCCGUAACUUCGGGAGAAGGCACGCUGACAC